UCUUCGAGAUACUCGAGUGGCGAACGGGUGAGUAACACGUGGGCAAUCUGCCCUGCACUUCGGGAUAAGCCUGGGAAACUGGGUCUAAUACCGGAUAGGACCUUUAGGCGCAUGCCUUUUGGUGGAAAGCUUUUGCGGUGUGGGAUGGGCCCGCGGCCUAUCAGCUUGUUGGUGGGGUGAUGGCCUACCAAGGCGACGACGGGUAGCCGGCCUGAGAGGGUGUCCGGCCACACUGGGACUGAGAUACGGCCCAGACUCCUACGGGAGGCAGCAGUGGGGAAUAUUGCACAAUGGGCGCAAGCCUGAUGCAGCGACGCCGCGUGGGGGAUGACGGCCUUCGGGUUGUAAACCUCUUUCAGCAGGGACGAAGCGCAAGUGACGGUACCUGCAGAAGAAGCACCGGCCAACUACGUGCCAGCAGCCGCGGUAAUACGUAGGGUGCGAGCGUUGUCCGGAAUUACUGGGCGUAAAGAGCUCGUAG
This 481-nucleotide ribosomal RNA is filed under the name Mycobacterium saskatchewanense. RNAcentral describes it as "bacterial SSU rRNA". It matches the Rfam family "Bacterial small subunit ribosomal RNA", at positions 79 to 574 of the family's 1533-position model. The record is from RNAcentral. Lineage: Bacteria; Bacillati; Actinomycetota; Actinomycetes; Mycobacteriales; Mycobacteriaceae.